CCUACGGGGGGCAGCAGUGAGGAAUAUUGGUCAAUGGACGAGAGUCUGAACCAGCCAAGUAGCGUGAAGGAUGACUGCCCUAUGGGUUGUAAACUUCUUUUAUAUGGGAAUAAAAUGUUUCACGUGUUGGACUUUGUAUGUACCAUAUGAAUAAGGAUCGGCUAACUCCGUUCCAGCAGCCGCGGUAAUACGGAGGAUCCGAGCGUUAUCCGGAUUUAUUGGGUUUAAAGGGAGCGUAGGUGGAAUGUUAAGUCAGUUGUGAAAGUUUGCGGCUCAACCGUAAAAUUGCAGUUGAAACUGGCAGUCUUGAGUACAGUAGAGGUGGGCGGAAUUCGUGGUGUAGCGGUGAAAUGCUUAGAUAUCACGAAGAACUCCGAUUGCGAAGGCAGCUAACUGGACUGCAACUGACACUGAGGCUCGAAAGUGUGGGUAUCAAACAGGAUUAGAUACCCUUGUAGUC
This 460-nucleotide ribosomal RNA is filed under the name uncultured bacterium. Its description in RNAcentral is "partial 16S ribosomal RNA". It matches the Rfam family "Bacterial small subunit ribosomal RNA", at positions 338 to 795 of the family's 1533-position model. The record is from RNAcentral.